GAUCCUGAAGAGCAACGGUAGCUCAUCUUACUCGAGAUCAGAAAGUUGCCCGUUCGAAUCGGGCCGUGGUUA
RNAcentral lists this transfer RNA (72 nucleotides) under Perkinsus marinus ATCC 50983. It matches the Rfam family "tRNA". Rfam says of the family: Transfer RNA (tRNA) molecules are approximately 80 nucleotides in length. Their secondary structure includes four short double-helical elements and three loops (D, anti-codon, and T loops). The record is from Rfam by way of RNAcentral. Lineage: Eukaryota; Perkinsozoa; Perkinsida; Perkinsidae.